Molecule: non-coding RNA, 148 nt
Organism: Homo sapiens (human)
Lineage: Eukaryota; Metazoa; Chordata; Mammalia; Primates; Hominidae
Rfam family: Metazoan signal recognition particle RNA
About the family: The signal recognition particle (SRP) is a universally conserved ribonucleoprotein. It is involved in the co-translational targeting of proteins to membranes.
Source: Rfam
GCUGGGCGUGGUGGCCCAUGCCUGUAAUCCCAGCUACUUGGGAAGCUGAGGCAGGAGAAUCGCUUGAACCCGGGAGGCUGAGGUUGUGAUGAGCCAAGAUCACACCAUUGCAUUCCAGCCUGGGCAACAGAGCAAGACUCUGUCUCAA